Molecule: long non-coding RNA, 2320 nt
Organism: Gorilla gorilla gorilla (western lowland gorilla)
Lineage: Eukaryota; Metazoa; Chordata; Mammalia; Primates; Hominidae
Exons: 6
Source: RefSeq, a predicted model, not a curated record
AGAAACUAUUAAUUUGUGAAGAAAUAACAAGACAAAAGGGUGUUGGCCAGGGACAGCAAAUUGUGAGGAAGUGACUAAGACACAUAGUAGAAAGAACCAGAAGAAAAUAAGGGUUAUUUUGGUAACUUUGUUUGUCCAGAUCCAUUUCAGCAUUGAUUCCCAGUGCCUGGUGAUAAGAAUGUUCCUCUCUCUCUCUGUGUCUUUCUCUCUUUUCUUCUCCACACCAUGAUUCUGUAAGGAAUGUUCUUCUCUUGCUGGUUCAGGGUAGACACCUUUCUCAUGGGAAAUUUUAUGGCCUGUUUAGGUUAAAAAAAUUGUGGAGGGGAGGGGUGGUCGGAAAGCCCUUCCUGCAUCUGCUCUUUCUCAAGUGCCUUCAGCUCAAAGUCAUCAAUCUGCCAAAGUGGCCUAUUUUGGGGUGGCAUGUCCUGAGCUUCUUUAGAACAGAUGACAGGCACAAUGCUGGUGCCAUCGUCAGCACCAGAACACUGCUGAGUUCUGUUUCAGACUUGUUGAGUGUGAGGUGAUCAUGGAAUUCUCAAAUAGAAAUUUAAAACAGGCAUCUACUUUCAGAAGAAAGGUCAGGAUUUCUUUUUCUUUUUUUUCUUUUUUUUCUUUUUUUUUUGUUUGAGAUGGAGUCUCGCUCUGUCACCCAGGUUGGAGUGCAGUGGUGCAAUCUCAGCUCACUGCAAGCUCUGCCUCCCAGGUUCACGCCAUUCUCCUGCCUCAGCCUCCCGAGUAGCGAAGACUACAGGUGCCCGCUACCAUGCCAGGCUAAUUUUUUUUUUUGUAUUUUUAGUAGAGACAGGGUUUCACUGUGUUAGCCAGGAUGGUCUCGAUCUCCUGACCUCAUGAUCCGCCCCCCUCGGCCUCCCAAAUUGCUGGGAUUACAGGCGUGAGCCGCCGCACCUGGCUGGUCAGGACUUCAAUUGUAAGUUUGAUACAAAGUGGAAAAGGCUGAAGAUUUCAUCCACAGUCUGAAAAGACCAUAUGAAAGAGGAAGGGGUGAGCUCCAAAGAACAAGCAUAUGUCAAAAGUAGUGGUGGGCAAAGACUCAAAUCUAAUAUCACUGAGGCUUCUGCCAGGCAGGGAGCAGUGGCCGUCUGCUCACCACAGUGGCCAGUGUGUCUUUGUGAAGAGCAAUGGAGGCCAGGAUUGAGAGUCUCGCUCUGUUGCCUAGGCUGGAGUGCAGUGGCCCGAUCUCAGCUCACUGCAACCUUCACCUCCUGGAUUCAAGCAGUUCUCCUGCCUCAGCCUCCUGAGUAGCUGGGAUUACAGUUGAACAGAGUCUGUCACCUUGGUUGAAGUUCAUUGGUGCAAUGAUAGCUCACUGCAACCUCAAAUUCCUGGACUCAAGUGAUCCUCCCAUCUCAGCCUCCUGCAUAGAUGCAUACAAGUGGACUCAUCCAUCAUCUCGUCUGAGCUAACCACCAUGACAUCAUUACCAAUCCCCAGAUACCAAGGCCAGAUCUUCUAGCUGCUGCCACCACAAUGCACCCUUUAUUAUGGCUAUACCAGUUAGGAAGAGCAAUUGGAUGCAAAUCACAGAGAUACAUCAAGCAGCUAAAGAAAAUCAAUGGUUACUAUCACACAUAAGAAAGUCUGAAGGUAUGCAGUCCUCUGUCUUUUGUAUCUGCCAUCCUUAACCUCAUGACCCAAGAAGGAGGCUGGAGCCCUAGGCAUCACAUCCAUAUCCCAGAAAAGAAAAUGGGAAAAAGGACCAAAGGGGUAGGCCAGGCAAGGUGGCUCAUGCCUGUAAUCCCAGCACUUUGGGAGGCCAAUGUGGGUGGAUCAUUUGAGGCCAGGAGUUUGAGACCAGCCUGGCCAACAAUGGCAAAACCCUGUCUCUACUAAAAAUACAAAAAUUAGCCAGGUGUGGUGGUGCACACCUGUAAUCCCUGCUACUCAGGAGGUCAAGGCAGGAGAAUCGCUUGAACCCAGGAGGCGGAGCUUGCAGUGAGCCAAGAUGGCACCAGUGCACUCCAGUCUGGGUGACACAAUGAGACUCUAUCUCAACAACAACGACAACAACAAUAAAAUGUUCAUUAUUGACUGAAAUUCUAAUUUAACUAAGUGUUCCUUAUUUGAUCUGGCAACGCUGACCACCCAACAUCUCCUGGGAUUUCAUUAGUCACCCCUACUGUGAAGGAAGCUGGAAAAUGUAGCCUUUCAGCCAGGCACUUUCCCACGCUGCAGUUAUUCUACCAAGGAAGACAUGGAGAGUGAAUACUGGAACCUUCUCCUACCUUUGUAGGAAUAUAGGAUUAUCUUCCAGGAUGUCAAUAGCUCUGGCCAGUGGGGACCGGACUGAUGAGAAGCAGCU